UGCCCUAGCGGCGAACGGGUGAGUAACACGUGGGCAACCUGCCCUCAGCUCUGGGAUAACUCCAAGAAAUUGGUGCUAAUACCGGAUGUGACCGCUGACCGCAUGGUCUGGUGGUGGAAAGAUUUAUCGGCUGAGGAUGGGCCCGCGGCCUAUCAGCUUGUUGGUGGGGUGAUGGCCUACCAAGGCGACGACGGGUAGCCGGCCUGAGAGGGUGACCGGCCACACUGGGACUGAGACACGGCCCAGACUCCUACGGGAGGCAGCAGUGGGGAAUAUUGCGCAAUGGGCGGAAGCCUGACGCAGCGACGCCGCGUGGGGGAUGACGGCCUUCGGGUUGUAAACCUCUUUCAGCAGGGACGAAGCGGAAGUGACGGUACCUGCAGAAGAAGCACCGGCCAACUACGUGCCAGCAGCCGCGGUAAUACGUAGGGUGCAAGCGUUGUCCGGAAUUAUUGGGCGUAAAGAGCUCGUAGGCGGUCUGUCACGUCGGCUGUGAAAACCCGAGGCUCAACCUCGGGCCUGCAGUCGAUACGGGCAAACUAGAGUGUUGCAGGGGAGACUGGAAUUCCUGGUGUAGCGGUGAAAUGCGCAGAUAUCAGGAGGAACACCGGUGGCGAAGGCGGGUCUCUGGGCAACAACUG
This 641-nucleotide ribosomal RNA is filed under the name Modestobacter sp. I12A-02982. RNAcentral's name for it is "bacterial SSU rRNA". It matches the Rfam family "Bacterial small subunit ribosomal RNA", at positions 88 to 742 of the family's 1533-position model. Lineage: Bacteria; Bacillati; Actinomycetota; Actinomycetes; Geodermatophilales; Geodermatophilaceae. The record is from RNAcentral.